This 253-nucleotide ribosomal RNA is filed under the name uncultured bacterium. RNAcentral's name for it is "partial 16S ribosomal RNA". It matches the Rfam family "Bacterial small subunit ribosomal RNA", at positions 524 to 776 of the family's 1533-position model. The record is from RNAcentral.
UACAGAGGUCUCAAGCGUUGUUCGGAUUCAUUGGGCGUAAAGGGUGCGUAGGCGGCGCGGUAAGUCGGGUGUGAAAUUUCGAGGCUUAACUUCGAAACUGCAUUCGAUACUGCCGUGCUAGAGGACUGGAGAGGAGACUGGAAUUUACGGUGUAGCGGUGAAAUGCGUAGAUAUCGUAAGGAAGACCAGUGGCGAAGGCGGGUCUCUGGACAGUUCCUGACGCUGAGGAGCGAAAGCGUGGGGAGCGAACAGG